Molecule: ribosomal RNA, 346 nt
Filed under: uncultured eukaryote
Lineage: Eukaryota
Description: SSU rRNA
Rfam family: Eukaryotic small subunit ribosomal RNA
Source: RNAcentral
AUAGCGUAUAUUUAAGUUGCUGCAGUUAAAAAGCUCGUAGUUGGAUUUCGGAUGGGUUCCGUCGGUCCGCCGCUUCGGUGUGCACCGGCGGCGCCCAUCUUGCUGCCGGGGACGGGCUCCUGGGCUUAAUUGUCCGGGACUCGGAGUCGGCGAGGUUACUUUGAGUAAAUUAGAGUGUUCAAAGCAGGCCUACGCUCUGAAUACAUUAGCAUGGAAUAACACGAUAGGACUCUGGCCUAUCUUGUUGGUCUGUAGGACCGGAGUAAUGAUUAAGAGGGACAGUCGGGGGCAUUCGUAUUUAAUUGUCAGAGGUGAAAUUCUUGGAUUUAUUAAAGAUGAACUUAUG